CCUGGCAAUGAUGAUGCACCUGCCCUCACUGAGAACAGUGUUCAUGAAUUAGAAUUUCAAUUUUGUACUCGGAAAGAUAUGAGACAGA
Rhincodon typus (whale shark) is the source of this 88-nucleotide small nucleolar RNA. RefSeq annotates it as small nucleolar RNA SNORD103/SNORD85. NCBI's taxonomy places the organism in Eukaryota, Metazoa, Chordata, Chondrichthyes, Orectolobiformes, Rhincodontidae. The transcript has a single exon. The record is from RefSeq and is a predicted model, not a curated record.